CCUGCAGUCGAACGGUAGCAGGAAGUGCUUGCACUUUGCUGACGAGUGGCGGACGGGUGAGUAAUGCUUGGGAACUUGCCUUUGCGAGGGGGAUAACAGUUGGAAACGACUGCUAAUACCGCAUAAUGUCUACGGACCAAACGGGGCUUAGGCUUCGGCGCAGAGAGAGGCCCAAGUGAGAUUAGCUAGUUGGUGGGGUAAAGGCUCACCAAGGCGACGAUCUCUAGCUGUUCUGAGAGGAAGAUCAGCCACACUGGGACUGAGACACGGCCCAGACUCCUACGGGAGGCAGCAGUGGGGAAUAUUGCACAAUGGGGGGAACCCUGAUGCAGCCAUGCCGCGUGUGUGAAGAAGGCCUUCGGGUUGUAAAGCACUUUCAGUUGUGAGGAAAAGUGAGUAGUUAAUACCUGCUCACCGUGACGUUAACAACAGAAGAAGCACCGGCUAACUCCGUGCCAGCAGCCGCGGUAAUACGGAGGGUGCGAGCGUUAAUCGGAAUUACUGGGCGUAAAGCGCACGCAGGCGGUUUGUUAAGCUAGAUGUGAAAGCCCCGAGCUCAACUUGGGAUGGUCAUUUAGAACUGGCAGACUAGAGUCUUGGAGAGGGGAGUGGAAUUCCAGGUGUAGCGGUGAAAUGCGUAGAUAUCUGGAGGAACAUCAGUGGCGAAGGCGACUCCCUGGCCAAAGACUGACGCUCAUGUGCGAAAGUGUGGGUAGCGAACAGGAUUAGAUACCCUGGUAGUCCACACCGUAAACGCUGUCUACUAGCUGUUUGUGGCUUUAAGCCGUGAGUAGCGAAGCUAACGCGAUAAGUAGACCGCCUGGGGAGUACGGCCGCAAGGUUAAAACUCAAAUGAAUUGACGGGGGCCCGCACAAGCGGUGGAGCAUGUGGUUUAAUUCGAUGCAACGCGAAGAACCUUACCUACACUUGACAUGCAGAGAACUUUCCAGAGAUGGAUUGGUGCCUUCGG
Molecule: ribosomal RNA, 971 nt
Filed under: Alteromonas sp.
Lineage: Bacteria; Pseudomonadati; Pseudomonadota; Gammaproteobacteria; Alteromonadales; Alteromonadaceae
Description: bacterial SSU rRNA
Rfam family: Bacterial small subunit ribosomal RNA
Source: RNAcentral